This 1093-nucleotide ribosomal RNA is filed under the name Veillonella sp. Its description in RNAcentral is "partial 23S ribosomal RNA". It matches the Rfam family "Bacterial large subunit ribosomal RNA", at positions 1 to 1108 of the family's 2925-position model. Lineage: Bacteria; Bacillati; Bacillota; Negativicutes; Veillonellales; Veillonellaceae. The record is from RNAcentral.
GGUCAAGCUACAAAGGGCGCAUGGUGAAUGCCUUGGCAUCAGGAGCCGAUGAAGGACGUGAUAAGCUGCGAUAAGCUUCGGGUAGGCGCACAUAGCCAGUAUCCAUAGGUGAAUACAUAGCUUAUGGAAGGUAAACCCAGGGAACUGAAACAUCUAAGUACCUGGAGGAAGAGAAAGAAAAAUCGAUUUUCUUAGUAGCGGCGAGCGAAAGGGAAAGAGCCCAAACCGGAAAUUUAUUUCCGGGGUUGCGGACAGAACAUUAACGAGAAGUUAUGGAUAAUUGAAGAUGACUGGAAAGUCAAGCCAUAGAGUGUAAUAGCCACGUAAGUGAAAUUCAUAAUAAUCAAGUUCUGAUCCAGAGUACCACGAGACACGUGAAACCUUGUGGGAAGCAGGGAGGACCACCUCCCAAGGCUAAAUACUACCUGAUGACCGAUAGUGAAGCAGUACCGUGAAUACUACCUGAUGACCGAUAGUGAAGCAGUACCGUGAGGGAAAGGUGAAAAGAACCCCGGGAGGGGAGUGAAAUAGAACCUGAAACCGUGUGCCUACAACCGGUCAAAGCCCCUUAUGAGGGUGAUGACGUGCUUUUUGUAGAACGAGCCAACGAGUUACGGUAUGUAGCAAGGUUAAGUACUUAAGGUACGGAGCCGAAGGGAAACCGAGUCUUAAUAGGGCGACUAGUUGCAUGCCGUAGACCCGAAACCGGGUGACCUAUCCAUGGCCAGGUUGAAGCGGGGGUAAAACCCCGUGGAGGACCGAACCACGUUGCUGUUGAAAAAGCAUGGGAUGAGCUGUGGAUAGCGGAGAAAUUCCAAUCGAACUCGGAGAUAGCUGGUUCUCCUCGAAAUAGCUUUAGGGCUAGCGUCGGAUAUGAGUAGUGGAGGUAGAGCACUGAAUGGGCUAGGGGGCAUAGCGCUUACCGAACCUUAUCAAACUCCGAAUGCCACAUACUAUUAGUCCGGCAGUCAGACUGCGAAAGAUAAGUUCCGUAGUCAAAAGGGAAACAGCCCAGAUCGUCAGCUAAGGUCCCAAAGUGUAAGUUAAGUGGAAAAGGAUGUGGGAUUUCUAAGACAACUAGGAUGUUGGCUUA